AUCUAAUUGGUCCGGUCCGGUUUAAUAACAAACCCCAAAGUUCCAAACUGGUACUUGUACUUGCUUCAUUUCUUCCCCCAGCCAUUCACAAGGUGCUCUGCAAUUUUUCCAAGGAAAUGGCUUUGGAGAUCUGUGUCAAGGCAGCUGUUGGUGCCCCUAAUAUUAUCGGAGACUGCCCAUUCACCCAGAGAUGUCUCUUGACUUUGGAAGAGAAGAAACUUUCCUACAAGUUGCAUCUGAUCAAUCUGAGUGACAAGCCUCAAUGGUUUUUGGAAGUAAGCCCUGAAGGGAAGGUGCCAGUGGUGAAAUUUGAUGACAAAUGGGUGCCAGACUCUGAUGUGAUUGUUGGGAUUCUAGAGGAGAAGUACCCUGAGCCAUCUCUUGUUACCCCUCCUGAAUAUGCUUCUGUAGGUUCAAAGAUAUUCCCAUCUUUUGUCAAAUUCUUGAAGAGCAAGGAUUCCAAUGAUGGAUCUGAGCAGGCUUUGCUUGAGGAAUUGAAGGCAUUGGAAGAGCA
Molecule: unclassified non-coding RNA, 514 nt
Filed under: Hevea brasiliensis (rubber tree)
Lineage: Eukaryota; Viridiplantae; Streptophyta; Magnoliopsida; Malpighiales; Euphorbiaceae
Source: RNAcentral